Molecule: ribosomal RNA, 169 nt
Filed under: Tetragenococcus halophilus
Lineage: Bacteria; Bacillati; Bacillota; Bacilli; Lactobacillales; Enterococcaceae
Description: partial 23S ribosomal RNA
Rfam family: Bacterial large subunit ribosomal RNA
Source: RNAcentral
GGUUAAGUAAGAAAGGGCGCACGGCGGAUGCCUUGGCACUAGGAGCCGAUGAAGGACGGGACCAACACCGAUAUGCUCUGGGGAGCUGUAAGUAAGCUUGGAUCCAGAGAUUUCCGAAUGGGGAAACCUCGCAUUUUUCAUCGAAUGCGGCUUGACCUGUGAAUACAUA